GAUUCCUGCGGACCCAGCUGCGGCGACGCCAGGAGACCCCAAGCUGCAUCGCCGAGUGGAAGCAACUAGAACUCCAGGGCUGUGAAAGCCACAGGUGGGGGCUGAGCGAGGCGUGGCCUCAGGAGCGGAGGACCCCCCCCACUCCCCCACGAGCGCCGCAGUCCACCGUAGCGGGUGGAGCCCGCCUUGGUGCGCAGUUGGAAAACCUCGGAGCCCCGCUGGAUCUCCUGGCUGCCACCCGCACCCCCCACCAGCCUAGGGUGCGCCCGCGGGCCCAGCUUCUCUCUGCGCUGCUCCCCGUUAAAUUCCCUGGGGAGACGGAAAAAAAGGCAAAGGAAGUCGGUUCUCCAGGGGCCAGAAGUGUUGAGCCUAAUUAGUCUUCAGACUUCUCAAUGAGAAAUCGCUUAUCAGUUUCUUAUCUGGGAGAGUUGAGGAUGGAGGGACAGAAGGCACCCAGGAUUUGCACGGGGGGGAUUCAGGGAGAGAGGGUGAUGAGGGACGGGGUGGGCCUUCCAGUCUUGGCCCAGUCCCCGUCUUGCACACAUUGUUGGCUUCCUCUUAGAGCCGUUCGCCCCCCUGGGGAGGGGAGACCCAUAGUGACCUCUCCUGACACCCGCCGACCCUGACCAGUGUGUUGCCCGGUUCUUCAAAGGCCACGCUCUGACUGCUGGUCUGUGUCACCUGCACCCCCCAGCCCCACCGUAGAGAUGCCUUCUUCGGUGACGGCGCUGGGUCAGGCCAGGUCCUCCGGCCCCGGGAUGGCCCCGAGCGCCUGCUGCUGCUCCCCUGCAGCCGUGCAGAGGAGGCUGCCCAUCCUGGCGUGGCUGCCCAGCUACUCCCUGCAGUGGCUGAAGAUGGAUUUCGUCGCCGGCCUCUCAGUUGGCCUCACUGCCAUUCCCCAGGCGCUGGCCUAUGCUGAAGUGGCUGGACUCCCGCCCCAGGUGAGGUGUCUGACCCUGCUGCCAGCCACAUCUCAGAAACAGUGCAGAAUUCACAGUAUCAAUCCCAGACACCAUCAGCAAUUCCAGGUUUCCAGCCCCUGGGCCCCAAGGAACCUUUGGUUUACAGUGUGUGACGCAGAUUGUCUCUGGGCCGACCCAGGCUCCUAUGCCUGUUUGGCACACACAGACACUGAGCUGGUUAUGGAGGGGCCAGCGAGAUGACUCAUGGAGGCCUCAGGAGUUCAAGACCAGCCCGACCAAAAUGGUGAAACCCCAUCUUCACUAAAAAUACAAAAAUUAGGCUGGAUGCGGUGGCUCAAGCCUGUAAUCCCAGCACUUUGGGAGGCCGAGGCAGGCGGAUCGCAAGGUCAGGAGAUGGAGACCAUCCUGGCUAACAGGGUGAAACCCCGUCUCUACUAAAAAUACAAAAAAUUAGCCAGGUGUGGUGGCGGGUGCCUGUAGUCCCAGCUACCUGGGAGGCUGAGGCAGGAGAAUGGCGUGAACCCGGGAGGCGGAGCUUGCGGUGAGCUGGAGCUUGCAGUGAGCUGAGACUGUGCCACUGCCCUCCAGCCUGGGCGACAGAGCGAGACUCCAUCUC
RNAcentral lists this small RNA (1539 nucleotides) under Pan troglodytes (chimpanzee). RNAcentral describes it as "retained intron". Lineage: Eukaryota; Metazoa; Chordata; Mammalia; Primates; Hominidae. The record is from RNAcentral.